UACGUAGGGUGCGAGCGUUAAUCGGAAUUACUGGGCGUAAAGCGUGCGCAGGCGGCUUCGCAAGUCAGGCGUGAAAGCCCCGGGCUUAACCUGGGAAUUGCGCUUGAAACUACGGUGCUGGAGUGCGGCAGAGGAAGGUGGAAUUCCACGUGUAGCGGUGAAAUGCGUAGAGAUGUGGAGGAACACCAAUGGCGAAGGCAGCCUUCUGGGUCGACACUGACGCUCAUGCACGAAAGCGUGGGGAGCAAACAGG
This 253-nucleotide ribosomal RNA is filed under the name uncultured bacterium. RNAcentral describes it as "partial 16S ribosomal RNA". It matches the Rfam family "Bacterial small subunit ribosomal RNA", at positions 524 to 776 of the family's 1533-position model. The record is from RNAcentral.